UGGGGAAUAUUGGACAAUGGGGGGAACCCUGAUCCAGCCAUGCCGCGUGUGUGAAGAAGGCCUUAUGGUUGUAAAGCACUUUAAGCGAGGAGGAGGGUACUGGUAUUAAUACUACCAGGUACUGGACGUUACUCGCAGAAUAAGCACCGGCUAACUCUGUGCCAGCAGCCGCGGUAAUACAGAGGGUGCGAGCGUUAAUCGGAUUUACUGGGCGUAAAGCGUGCGUAGGCGGCUAAUUGAGUCGGAUGUGAAAUCCCCGAGCUUAACUUGGGAAUUGCAUUCGAUACUGGUUAGCUAGAGUGUGGGAGAGGAUGGUAGAAUUCCAGGUGUAGCGGUGAAAUGCGUAGAGAUCUGGAGGAAUACCGAUGGCGAAGGCAGCCAUCUGGCCUAACACUGACGCUGAGGUAUGAAAGCAUGGGGAGCAAACAGG
Molecule: ribosomal RNA, 430 nt
Filed under: Pseudomonadota bacterium
Lineage: Bacteria; Pseudomonadati; Pseudomonadota
Description: Proteobacteria bacterium partial 16S ribosomal RNA
Rfam family: Bacterial small subunit ribosomal RNA
Source: RNAcentral